Molecule: unclassified non-coding RNA, 352 nt
Filed under: soil metagenome
Description: partial contains 5.8S ribosomal RNA, internal transcribed spacer 2, and large subunit ribosomal RNA
Rfam family: 5.8S ribosomal RNA (bases 1-120)
Source: RNAcentral
GAUGAAGAACGUAGCGAAAUGCGAUAAGUAAUGUGAAUUGCAGAAUUCAGUGAAUCAUCGAAUCUUUGAACGCACAUUGCGCCCGCCAGUAUUCUGGCGGGCAUGCCUGUUCGAGCGUCAUUUCAACCCUCAGGCCCCCAGUGCCUGGUGUUGGGGAUCGGCCCAGCCUUCCUGUAAGGCCGCCGGCCCCGAAAUCUAGUGGCGGUCUCGCUGUAGUCCUCCUCUGCGUAGUAGCACAACCACGCAGUUGGAACGCGGCGGUGGCCAUGCCGUUAAACACCCCACUUCUGAAAGUUGACCUCGGAUCAGGUAGGAAUACCCGCUGAACUUAAGCAUAUCAAUAAGCGGAGGA